UUUCGCUUGAGUUAAGAAUUAAGUUCCUAGAAUUUGCUAGAGGGAAAAAACAAACGAGCAAGCAAGCAAGCAAUACUGGAGAGAGAAACAGUGGACAAAGAUGCAAAGAAAGAAACAAAGGGGCUAAGCUCUCUGUUCGUACCUUUUCUUCCACAUUUUCUACCUUUCUUUUUUCUUUCUUCCGCUGCUGCUUUUUUUCUUUUUUUUCUAACCAAGUUAUAAUCUUUCCACAGGUUGGAGGCUUUUCUUUAUUUAUUUUAUAGAAUUCUGAUGCAGUAUUAGUCUACGUCUCUCUCUUUUUCUCUUUCUGUUUGUGAUAAAAAGUUCAUUGAAUCUUAGCUCCUAAGCUUCUUUACUUUUGAAAAGUUCUUCAAGCGCUUCUCUCAUUCUUAUUGGCCGCCAAAUUUGCUUCCAUUUCACCUCCUCCUAGGAUUAUUGACUGUACGUUCAUGGUUUUUUCUUUUUCUGAAAAUUUUUUAUUGGGUGGUUUCAUUUUUCAGAUUGGGUGAGUUUAUGAUUGGUGUUGCGGAGGAAGAGACAGUUGAGAUAGAGAUCAACGGGAAUGGAAAGAUCUGGUAGGAAGUACUUGAAUUUGGAGAUCUAUCUUAAGGUCUUUCUUGGGUUUGUUUUGAUCUGCGCAGCGACUAUUUCUCUUGGAGUUACUAAUCCCACUGAUGUUGCUGCAAUUAAUAGCUUAUACUCUUCUCUGGGAAAUCCUGUACUGCCCGGGUGGGUUGCUUCAGGGGGAGACCCUUGUGGCGAAGGGUGGCAAGGUGUUGGAUGUGAGGUUUCAGGCAUAACUUCCAUAGUUCUCAAUGGAGCUAAUUUGGGAGGAGAACUUGGUAAUGACUUGGGCAUGUUUACUUCUAUCAGAUCAAUAGAUUUAAGCAAUAACCGCAUUGGGGGGAGCAUUCCAUCCAAUCUACCUGUUACUAUGCAAAACUUUUUUCUCUCAGCAAAUAAUUUCACUGGAAGCAUCCCGGAUUCAAUAUCCUCUCUGACUUUACUGACAGCCAUGUCUCUGAACAACAAUUUCUUAAGUGGAGAGAUACCAGAUUCCUUCCAGUCCCUUGCGGGGUUGAUCAAUCUAGACUUAUCUAGUAACAAUUUGAGUGGGCAAUUGCCUGCUUCUUUUCAAAAUUUGAUUCAUCUUACAACCUUACGUUUGCAGGAAAAUCGGCUGUCUGGGACCCUUGAUGUUCUACAAGAUCUUCCCUUGAAAGAUUUGUAUUAUUCCCAAACAUGUUUCUUUUAAUUUACAUUCAACUAUCAAUUCAUAAAAUUGUCCUCUAUUUGGGGAAUUCCAUUGUCAAGUUUCUAAAAUUUUGUAGGAUAAUUCUUUAUUAUGUUGUCCUCAUCUUAAUCAGGAACAUAGAGAAUAACUUGUUCUCAGGACCCAUACCUGAGAAGAUGCUGACCAUCCCAAAUCUCAGAACAGACGGGAACCCAUUCAAUGAUACAUCUGUCCCAUUACCUUCACCAACAUCCCCACUGACACCACCACCAGCACCAGGGCUUCCUGGAGCUCCAACUUCACCCUCAUCUGGGAAAACACCUGGCAAACAGGUUGAUGGGCCAUCUUCAUCUGAGGAAUCUAGUUCUGGAGGAAAAAAAUCUACCAAAAAAAUAGUUUGGAUAUCAAUUGCUGGUGUAUUGUCGUUUGUAAUUUUGGCAUUAGGACUAGUGCUUUUUAUGCCAAAAUGUAGCAGAAGAAGAGAGCAGGCCAGCAGAAUUUUCGAGCGGCAUCAAGUUGAUGCGUAUAAAGGCAACCGAGAGAAUCCAAGGGAUCAUGAGUCCUUGGUCCAACCAGCUAAGGAAACAGAAAAAGUUCCAAAGGAGGCUAGGGUACGGCCAAAGGAGGAUCAUCCAAAGCCACAAACUGUGCAGGAGAGAACUAUGCCCAGAAUACCAAAGCGGGAUGAUUAUGAAAUAGAUAUGAGCAGAGUAGAUUCGUUUGUCAUGCCCCCUCCCCCUCCACCUCUACCACCACCAUUGCCUCCUCCUCCUCCUCCUCCACCCCCUUCAUCACCUCCUCUACCUUCAGCGGAGGUCAUCGUUACACCAAUUGUGCCUGCAGAGGCGAGUACAGCAAAGCCUCCCACUAAAGCUCAGAAACCCUUCGCUUCUGCCAGGUCUUUCACCAUUGCAUCCCUUCAGCAAUACACAAACAGCUUUUCUCAAGAAAAUCUUAUAGGUGGAGGUAUGCUGGGAAAUGUUUAUAGGGCGGAGCUUCCUAAAGGAAAGCUUCUUGCAGUUAAGAAACUGGACAAGAAGGCUUCAAGCCAGCAGAACGAUGAUGAGUUCAUUGAACUGGUUAACAAUGUUGAUCGGAUCCGAAAUGCUAAUGUUGUUGAGCUCAUGGGUUUCUGUGCGGAGCAUGGUCAAAGGCUUCUGAUUUAUGAGUAUUGCAGUAAUGGAACACUACAGGAUGCACUACAUUCAGAUGAUGAAUCGAAGAAGCAGCUUUCCUGGAACGCCCGUGUCAGGAUGGCGCUUGGAGCUGCCAGAGCUUUAGAGUAUUUGCAUGAGAUCUGUCAGCCACCUGUUGUCCACAGAAAUUUCAAGUCUGCAAACAUUCUCCUAGAUGAUGAUCUUGCUGUUCGUGUCUCAGAUUGUGGUUUGGCUCCACUAAUAUCAUCAAAUGAUGUUAGUCAGUUGUCAGGGCAACUGCUAACAGCUUAUGGUUAUGGGGCUCCAGAAUUUGAGUCAGGAAUUUAUACUGCACAGAGUGAUGUUUAUAGCUUUGGGGUGGUUAUGUUAGAACUCUUAACAGGCCGAAAGUCCCUUGACAGGACACGAAAUCGAGGCGAACAAUUUCUGGUGAGGUGGGCAGUACCCCAGCUUCAUGACAUUGAUGCAUUGUCCAGGAUGGUUGAUCCUUCUCUUAAUGGAGAGUACCCUGCCAAAUCAUUAUCAAACUUUGCUGAUAUUAUUUCUCGGUGUGUUCAGACUCAGCCAGAAUUCAGGCCAUCAAUGUCUGAAGUUGUCCAGGAUCUGCUAGACAUGAUUCGGAGAGAGCGCCACAGCAGUGAGUCAAUUGGGGACUGAUAGAAAUUAUAAACUAGACCCUGUCAUCUAAGCACACGAAUGCAAAGAUGCUGAUGUUGAUCUGUUGUAAAUCCAACCCAAGAAGGUGCAUCUACCGUAAACAAAAUGCACUAUGCUAACAUCCUCAACUGUUCACAUCUCAAUUUCUUACCCUUCAAGGAAAUCAGCUAGAAGAUGCUGACACGCAGAAUAGGCUGCAAAAAUGAAGUGGUUGGAACUCUGAACAAAUUUGAUUCGUCUGGAAUUUAUUGGUGAUUCGAUUGUUGAUUAAAUUAUGCAAUCUCUUCGUAAACUGCACAAAUCAGCUAACGUGAUUGUUUUGUAUUUGUCAUUGGUUGCUAAUUCUUGAUAAUGAAAUUUUGUUUGUAAUGCAACAUCUAUACUAAUGAUGUUUAUGUUGGGUUCUGCCAAUUCAUAUCAAUAUUUACAAUAGUUCAAUAGAGAAAAGGGAAAAGGACAUGAGAACCUCCAAACCUCUUGGACAAGGAUGCGCUACAGAUUGUAAAGUGCAUCAAAUGGUUGUGUUCAAAAGGUGAAAUGAAAAUACCUUUUCUAUGUGAACUUGAUGUGCUAUGCCGUGUUACCAACGAUUGUAAUCUUACCAAUAAGCUUUAGUGGUGGUGAAAUCUCCAGGGCUGUCUUGAGGGGUGAGCCAGUGUGAAUCGGUGUGUGUAGCUUAUAUAGAUUACCACCUU
RNAcentral lists this unclassified non-coding RNA (3743 nucleotides) under Hevea brasiliensis (rubber tree). The record is from RNAcentral. Lineage: Eukaryota; Viridiplantae; Streptophyta; Magnoliopsida; Malpighiales; Euphorbiaceae.